AUAUAUAUAUAUAUAUGUAUGUAUGUAUGUAUGUAUGUUACUCUCUGCACGGAUAUUUCGAAUUGUUUCUUAUCUUUUCAUUUGAAUUUGUGACACUGAAUGCCAGCUGUUUUAUCUUCUGCACUGGGAUCUCGAGUUAAUAUUUGACUUAAAAAAAGUUACAAAAUUAAGUUACAUAAAGAGGAUGGCUACUCAAUUAAGGUUAUGACAGCGAUGGCCAUGAAAUUAUAGGUUGUCUUUUUAAACUCAACCUCAUUGAUGAGGUUCAUUUUUGUUAGUAUAUGCAUAAAGGUGGUAUAACAUGUAAAUGGAUCGGCAAUUUUUUGGAUAUUUCUAUCUGAUCUUUGAGUAUUUGAAACCCUGAUAUAAGGCAUUCUCAAAUUGGAUCUUCCAAGUCAAUAACGGAAAACCAUAUUCCAUAUUCCCUGAAUCUUCUUUGUUAAUUAAUUAUUUUGGAAAGGUGAAAUUAAUUCCAGUUCUUACCAUACAACUUUGAGGAGUCUCAUUGAUGCCCGAGACCACAAAUAGGCUAGGGGUAACUUAAUUGGCAUUUCUGAGAAGUAUAACUUAAUUGGCCAGUGAAAUGAGAGAAACAGCCCGAUGGUAUUUUUGCUGCUCUCAGAUUUCUUUUGCCCUUGAAGUUGGCUCCCAGAAUUGCAAUUUGAAAUAAGAAUCACUCAAAUA
RNAcentral lists this long non-coding RNA (684 nucleotides) under Phoenix dactylifera (date palm). RNAcentral's name for it is "long non-coding RNA (PDAC_LNC019429)". Lineage: Eukaryota; Viridiplantae; Streptophyta; Magnoliopsida; Arecales; Arecaceae. The record is from RNAcentral.